This 330-nucleotide ribosomal RNA is filed under the name uncultured bacterium. RNAcentral's name for it is "bacterial SSU rRNA". It matches the Rfam family "Bacterial small subunit ribosomal RNA", at positions 568 to 898 of the family's 1533-position model. The record is from RNAcentral.
CGUGUAGGCGGCCAAUUAAGUCAGGCGUGAAAUCUCUGGGCUUAACCCAGAAAUUGCGUUUGAAACUGGAAGGCUUGAGGAUCGGAGAGGGCAGUGGAAUUCCCAGUGUAGCGGUGAAAUGCGUAGAUAUUGGGAGGAACACCAGUGGCGAAGGCGACUGCCUGGACGACACCUGACGCUGAGGCGCGAAAGCUAGGGGAGCAAACGGGAUUAGAUACCCCGGUAGUCCUAGCCGUAAACGAUGGGUACUAGGUGUGGGAGGUAUCGACCCCUUCCGUGCCGCAGUUAACACAAUAAGUACCCCGCCUGGGGAGUACGCGCAAGGUUGAA